RNAcentral lists this unclassified non-coding RNA (205 nucleotides) under uncultured Meliniomyces. Its description in RNAcentral is "sequence contains ITS1". The record is from RNAcentral. Lineage: Eukaryota; Fungi; Ascomycota; Leotiomycetes; Helotiales; Helotiaceae.
GCAAUUGGCGCCUUCUAGGCGUUAGACCACGCGCGUAAAAGUGCGGUGUGGUGAGGCAACUCCCACUUUAGGUCGUAGCUACACCCGUGUUUACCACCUUUGUUGCUUUGGCGGGCCGCCUUCGGGCUCGGCUCCGGCUGAUCGUGCCCGCCAGAGGACCCAAACUCUUUUGUUACAGUGAUGUCUGAGUACUAUAUAAUAGUUA